AAACCGCUGCUGGAGCUGGCU
This 21-nucleotide small RNA is filed under the name Escherichia coli. RNAcentral's name for it is "RNA60_SPACER8". The record is from RNAcentral. Lineage: Bacteria; Pseudomonadati; Pseudomonadota; Gammaproteobacteria; Enterobacterales; Enterobacteriaceae.